This 468-nucleotide ribosomal RNA is filed under the name uncultured bacterium. Its description in RNAcentral is "partial 16S ribosomal RNA". It matches the Rfam family "Bacterial small subunit ribosomal RNA", at positions 28 to 507 of the family's 1533-position model. The record is from RNAcentral.
GACGAACGCUGGCGGCGUGCUUAACACAUGCAAGUCGAACGGAAAGGCCCUGCUUUUGUGGGGUGCUCGAGUGGCGAACGGGUGGGUAACACGUGAGUAACCUGCCCUUGACUUUGGGAUAACUUCAGGAAACUGGGGCUAAUACCGGAUAGGAGCUCCUGCUGCAUGGUGGGGGUUGGAAAGUUUCGGCGGUUGGGGAUGGACUCGCGGCUUAUCAGCUUGUUGGUGGGGUAGUGGCUUACCAAGGCUUUGACGGGUAGCCGGCCUGAGAGGGUGACCGGCCACAUGGGGACUGAGAUACGGCCCAGACUCCUACGGGAGGCAGCAGUGGGGAAUAUUGCACAAUGGGCGGAAGCCUGAUGCAGCAACGCCGCGUGCGGGAUGACGGCCUGCGGGUUGUAAACCGCUUUCGCCUGUGACGAAGCGUGAGUGACGGUAAUGGGUAAAGAAGCACCGGCUAACUACGUG